CCCUGGCAGUCAGAGGCGAUGAAGGACGUGCUAAUCUGCGAUAAGCGCCGGUAAGGUGAUAUGAACCGUUAUAACCGGCGAUUUCCGAAUGGGGAAACCCAGUGUGAUUCGUCACACUAUCAUUAACUGAAUCCAUAGGUUAAUGAGGCGAACCGGGGGAACUGAAACAUCUAAGUACCCCGAGGAAAAGAAAUCAACCGAGAUUCCCCCAGUAGCGGCGAGCGAACGGGGAGGAGCCCAGAGCCUGAAUCAGCAUGUGUGUUAGUGGAAGCGUCUGGAAAGGCGCGCGAUACAGGGUGACAGCCCCGUACACAAAAGCGCAUGUGCUGUGAGCUCGAUGAGUAGGGCGGGACACGUGGUAUCCUGUCUGAAUAUGGGGGGACCAUCCUCCAAGGCUAAAUACUCCUGACUGACCGAUAGUGAACCAGUACCGUGAGGGAAAGGCGAAAAGAACCCCGGCGAGGGGAGUGAAAAAGAACCUGAAACCGUGUACGUACAAGCAGUGGGAGCACCCUUCGGGGUGUGACUGCGUACCUUUUGUAUAAUGGGUCAGCGACUUAUAUUCUGUAGCAAGGUUAACCGUAUAGGGGAGCCGGAGGGAAACCGAGUCUUAAC
This 615-nucleotide ribosomal RNA is filed under the name Salmonella enterica subsp. enterica serovar Typhimurium. RNAcentral describes it as "partial 23S ribosomal RNA". It matches the Rfam family "Bacterial large subunit ribosomal RNA", at positions 31 to 688 of the family's 2925-position model. Lineage: Bacteria; Pseudomonadati; Pseudomonadota; Gammaproteobacteria; Enterobacterales; Enterobacteriaceae. The record is from RNAcentral.